GAUGAACGCUCGCGGCAGGCCUAACACAUGCAAGUCGAGGGAGAAGCCCUUUCGGGGGCAGAAACCGGCGCACGGGUGCGUAACGCGUAUGCAACCUACCUUUCACAGGGGGAUAGCCCGAAGAAAUUUGGAUUAAUACCCCAUAAUAUUAUUGGAUGGCAUCAUUUGAUAAUUAAAACUGCGGUGGUGAAAGAUGGGCAUGCGUCCUAUUAGCUAGUUGGAGUGGUAACGGCACCCCAAGGCUACGAUAGGUAGGGGUCCUGAGAGGGAGAUCCCCCACACUGGUACUGAGACAGGGACCAGACUCCUACGGGAGGCAGCAGUGAGGAAUAUUGGUCAAUGGUCGGAAGACUGAACCAGCCAUGCCGCGUGCAGGAAGAAUGCCUUAUGGGUUGUAAACUGCUUUUAGAUGGGAAGAAUAAGGCGUACGUGUACGUUGAUGACGGUACCAUAUGAAUAAGCAUCGGCUAACUCCGUG
Molecule: ribosomal RNA, 478 nt
Filed under: uncultured bacterium
Lineage: Bacteria
Description: partial 16S ribosomal RNA
Rfam family: Bacterial small subunit ribosomal RNA
Source: RNAcentral